Molecule: long non-coding RNA, 6435 nt
Organism: Heterocephalus glaber (naked mole-rat)
Lineage: Eukaryota; Metazoa; Chordata; Mammalia; Rodentia; Bathyergidae
Source: Ensembl
UUUAUAUUUUAGCUAAUCAUUCAUAGAAAAUCUUUUUAAUAGCUUUGAACUAUUCACUCAUGUUAAUGUACCAUAUUAGCUAUAUAUUAGGUAGUUUCCUAUUUUCUCUACUAUAAUGGCAUGAGAAUGAACAUUCUAACUUUCAAAGUCUGAUUAUUUUCUUAGUAUAAAAUGCUACAAGAGGAAGGACAAGUCAAAGACUAAAUAGUUCAGGUUUCUUAAUGAACUUUUUAUUGUUAAAAUGUUUUAAAACAUAUGUAUGGGGCCAGGGAUUUAGCUCAGUGGUUCUGCCGCCUGCCUUGCAAGCACAAGGUCCUGAGUUUGAUCCCUGGUACCAAAAAAAAGAAACCCAUAUGUAUAUAUUUGUAGCAUAUAUGGAAAAAAGAGUUCAUGUAUUAACCUUAUAAAAAGGUUAUUUUAAUAUAAUCUUAAAAGAAAACCCUAUAUCUCAGGGGAAAAGGAAGUGACAAUUCAUAAAUACAGUUCAAAUACCAGAAAAGGUUGAAUCUUAUUACUAGUUUUUUUAAAAGCUGAAACUAAAACUUCACAACACCUGUUUUUAAAAAAUUCAUCAGUUUCAUGAAGCUUUGUAAAAAAAAUGAGAGCAGCUGGGCUGGCAAGAAAGGGUGCAGUGAAAUGGAUAUUCCCUCCCAUCUCUUCUGAAAGGAAUAUAAAUUGGUACUACCUUUCUGGAGAGUAGUUUGGUGUGUUUUACUAAAGACAUUCUGCUUGUAGCUCAUUAUCUGCCAUAAAGCCCCUCCACAGAAAUGUUCUGGGGUGUGGGACAAAUGUUUGGUUUUACAGUAAGCCAAGCCAUCUCUAAUCGGGACAUGUGACCAUCUAGGUGCUCUUUAAAUGUUUGACCUGUAUAACUAAUUGAAUCUUCACAACCGUGUAGUCAGGGGCUAUUUAUUAUUCUCAUUCUAUAGAUGACAAAAGGAGGCUAAAGAGGUCAAGUAACUUGCCUAAGAUCAUGCAGUAGGAAAGUAACCAAGCUAGGAUUUAAACCCAGGAAGUCUCACUGUAGCACUCAUGCUCCUAACUUCUGUGACGGGCUGGCUUCCCAUGUGGCAGAACCUGAUAGAGAAGCUAAGACACCUCCCCAGGUCACCCAAGACUGCAAGGGCUUUCUCUUGUCUCUUAGUUUGGGAUUCAUUCAUCCUCUCUAAGACCCACCAUCUGUUGACCUUGGUGUCGAUUCUAGUUUGUCCUGCCUCUAAGACACUGUCUUUGUUUUGAAGCAUCUAAGUUUCAGACAAUAAUAGGAAAAAUAUUUGGUUUAUAAGCAGCAGAAAACUUGCUUUGUACACAGAAGCACUGGUAUGUGUGAUAUAUCCAGUGUGACUGAACACAUACAGGGCUCCUAUGGCUGUGGGUUCCUUGAGUGGGGCACCAGCUGGCCAUAUUUGUGGCUCUCACCACCCCGGGCAGAUUGCAUUGCUGGAACCUUCAGACAAAUGCAAGUGAAGUCCAUUCACAGGUCCCAGCUUUCGUUUUGGCUCCAGGAGCACGCUAAGCACUGUGGGAAAUACAAAAGAGUUAGCAAGUACAGACCCUGCCCUAGAGGACGGCGAGGCUCUUUGGAGCAGCACAGACCCGCACAUACAGUGUGUCAGAAGCAGAUGCCAACGGCAUGAGUGAUGCAGGCCCUGUGCUUUUUCUACCCACUUAUGAGGCUCCUGGGGGUGUGGGGGGGUGUCAGGUAGAGAGGCUUGCUGGAGGAGGUGUCCCCUGAAGUAGGCCUUGGAGGAACAAAUAGACAGAAGACCAGGUGACCUCAGAAAAGGAGCGGUCCAGGCAGGUUGGAUCCAGAGCUGUGUGGAAGGGAGAGGCAGGAUCCAGCCAGAGAAGUUGGGGAGGGAGGGUCCCUACCACAGAGACUUCUGACAGGCAUAGGACUCACAAGGGUCCAUUGUGUGUGUGUGUGUGUGUGUGUGUGUGACUGUGCCCAUGUAAACAGCCACAUUCAGGAGGUAACACGAGCACUUGAACAAGGGAGUGUCAUGGUUAAGGUGAGGUUUGUGUGACACCAAUGAAGUCACAGGUGAUCCCAGUUUUCUGAGCCAUACCAUUUCCUGGCCUCUGAGUAUUUGUAGGCCACCUGUGGGAGGCAGCCCCUAAGAGGUGGUGCCUAGGGAAGAAUGCACACAAGACAUUGGAGCACACAGGAGCCAUGGGGCUAGAGACAGAAAGGGCUACAAGUAUGGGGUGUAUCUUAGCUACUUUUCUCUCAUUGAGACAAAAUACCUGACACCCACAAGUUAAGGGAAGAAAAGUUUAUUUAGCUCGCAGUUUGUAGAGGUUUCAGUCCGUUGGCUCCAAGGCAAGGUGGCGUGGCAGAGGGGAUCGUGAAGGUGAAACAGUUCAUGGCAGGCAGAAGACAGGCGUCAGCAAGGCAUGACCACAGCUCUUUCUGUCCCUUAUAUCUUAUCCAGGCUAAUCGCCCUUCGGGAAGAUAGCACUCACAUCCUUAUUCUAGUAGCAUCACGCGUGAAUCAAUCCCAGCAUCACAUCCUUGAUCCCAGCAGCACAUAUCAUAGAUCCUAGCCACCUCCGAAAAGCCCCACCUAUGACUCCAUGAGGCUUUGGGGAAAAUCUAGAUAUAAGCUGUAACAAGGUGUUCAGCCCAGGGCAAUCUGGUUGUGUUAGAAGAACUAGUUCCAUGUGCUAGGCAGACUGGUGCUGCUCAAUGUGGUAAGCAGCAGAGAGAGGUGAAGGAUAAAAGCAGACCUAGAUGAUGCCCAAGGGUCAGCCAGCACACCACCAUCUGUCCCCCAGCCCUGUCAGCUCCUGACUGUUAACCACAGUGCGCACACCUCCCCGACUGGGCCCACAAUGGGAACAGGCCAGGCACAUCAGCUCCUUUUAAAUGUAGACCAGGACUGAAGGCGCUACCGACAGUGAGGGGCCAAGUUGAGGCCUGCAGUGGCCUGAUGGCCAGCAGAGGUGAGGAGUCCGAGAAGGGACUCUGAGAUCCUAGCCAGCAGCAGGAGCAUGGGAAAGCUGUAGGCACUGAGGGACAGGACGAGCAGUCCAGGGAAGCCACAGGAGGGCCAGCACCAGUGGAGCUGGCUUAGAGUCUAGGGGUAACAGAAACAGAAGGCAACAAGCUCAGCAGGGAUGGGGGCAGGAGCUGUCUCUGGGUCUGUCUUGAGAACAGAAGAGAGAAGAUGGCCUCCAAACUGUGUGAAUUUGAGGGACCACAGCUGGUAGGUUCUGGGAAGAGGCUACUGAUUAAUAUUGAUAUAUUCAUUUAUCCACUGAACAAACAUGUGCAGAGCAGGCACUGUUUUCCAGGAACUGUACUUGCCACUGGAGCCCAAGGAGAAGUCAGUCUCCAGAAACCUGCAGCCCAGUGGGAGGGACAACAUGAGACAGAACCAGGGCAUACAGACAGUGACACCUUCAGCAUGGUGGCGUCCUCCCCACCUGACCUGUGAUAAUAGGGAGGAGCAUUUCUGCUGCUGUCCUAUGGAAGGGGAGGGAACAAGGGGGAUCAAGUGUUUUCUUUCUUUAUUAUUUUCUGUGUGGUUUUUAAUGUAGCAUCUGACAUAUGUAAAAGAAUAUGUGCUAUAUACAUAUAACAGUAAUGGUUGUAGAACAUCACGAAUAUAAUUGUUAAUACAUAUUAACAUAUACUCUAUGUAUGGACUGUAUGUAUAUCUCUUCAUAUAUAUGUGUGAUUAUAUUUUCUACAUAUAUAUGGAAAACUCUCUGUGUAUAUAUAAGAGAGAGCAAGAGAGACUGUGAAUAAUAAAAUAAACUCUUAGGAGGCCAUCCCUCAGUUCACAAAAUGGAACCAAAAGUACUAAACAGCAACUGAGAGUACUAAAGUUCCUUGGCCCCCUUCCUCCAUGGAAUCUCUUUCCUUUUCUCCCCAGAAAUACUCACUAACCUUGAUUUGUGUGGGUAUCAUUCUCUUACUUUUCCUAAUAUUCUUACCGCUUAUGUAGGAUUCUAAAACUUUCAUGGUUCCACAAAAGUUGAAACAGAAUUAUCACAUGACCCUGCAGUUCUACUGCUAGAGCAUGUACCCCAAAGAACUGAAAAGGAGUACUCAGAUACUUGUAUGGAAAUAUUCAUUGCAGCAUUAUUUCUCAUGAACCAAAGGACAAGCAACCCAAAUGUCUAUUAACAAAAAUAGGUAAUAAACAAAAUGUAUUAUUUAUAAAUACUUGGAUGAAUAUUUUUCAGCCAUAAAAAAAUGAAAUUCUGGUAUGUGCUUAAUAUAGAUGAAUCUUGAAAACAUGUGUUAAGUGAAAGAAGCCAGUCACAAAAUGUCAAAAGUGUGAUUCCACUUAUGCAAAAUAUGUACUAGAAUAGGCAAAUUCAUAGAGGCAGAGAGUGGAUCAGGGUUGGAUGGAAGGGGAAAUGAGGAGCUGCUUAACACAUUCAGAGUAUCUCUUCGGAAUGAUGAAAAAGUUUGGGAAUAGUGGUAAUUAUUGUACAGCAUUGUAAAUGCAAUUGUUGCUUCUGAAUCAUUUAUAGUACAUUAUUUUAAAAUGGCUAAAAUAGCAAUUUUGUGAUAUAUAUAUAUAUAUAUAUAUAUAAAUUGGUAGUUUUGCCAGUGUUUGAUCUUUAUGAAAUGAAAUAAGACUUUGUGCAUACCUCUGCAACUAGCUUUUUUUCACUCAGUGUUGUUUCUAUACUAUGUCGAACAGGUUUAGCAGGUUGCUAUAAUUAAGUUCCUUUGACCACUGAAUAAUAUUAUAGGGGAUGAAUAGACUACAAUCUAUUCAUCCAUUUUUUGAUUAGUGGCAUUGGAGAUUUUUCCAACAUUUUUUACUUUUUAAAACCAGUGCUUCCAGCUGAGCAUGGUGGCUCAAACCUGUAAUUCCAGCAUUCUGGGAGGCUGAGCCAGGAGGAUUGCAAGUUCAAGCCCCACCUGUACAACUUAGUGACUUAGCAAGACCCUGUCUCAACAUAAAAAAGAAAAAAUGGCUGAGAAUAUAGCUCAAUGCAAGGGCCCGGUUCAAUCCUCAGUAACCACCCCCCCAAACAAAAAAAUCAAAAACCUGUGUUUCUGGGAAUAUUCAUUCACAUGUCUCUGGGCAUCUAUCCAAGAGUUUCCUUCCUCUACACGUAGGAGCAGAGUUGCUUGGUAGAGGAUGCAUGCAUGUUCAACUUUGUAAAAUAGUGUAAAUUGUUCUCAGAGAGCUCGUAUGCAUUGUCCUCUCCCAGCUGUCGGUCAGGUCUGGUUAUCCUACAUCCUCACCAAGGGUGUGCCACCUUCUCUUGAGCCCCAUCUCCGCCCUGUAACUUGACACUAUCUGUCCACUUACAUCCACACCUACCAUUAUGAUGGUCACUGUCGAGGACAGAACUACUGCCUCCAACUCACCAAAAGAUUCAGGAUUUGAAAAAUGGAAAAGGCCCUUUGUGAGACAUUAUAACCCUUAUUUUACAGAGAAGUAGAUGGAGACCCAGAGUGAAGGGGGACUUGGCCAUGGUCAAGAUGAGUUGAGAGUGGGUUUGUGGAUGAGCUCAUAAUUUGCACAUGUUCUGUGCUUAAGACCCUGGAAGGAAUAUUACACCUAUGAAUUUUCUUGGCUUUCUCCUUGACUUUGAGCCACAUAUAAAAGGCCACGCCCUAGGCCAAGAGGUAGCCCCAGGUGAGGCAAGUGGUGUGGGCUGGCUGAGGCACCUCCUGUGCUCUUCUCUCUUGCCACUCUUUGUAUAGAGUGAGUUCUAGAGGAGGGGCUUCAAGCUCAAGCUUGUCCAGAAACCAAUUUACUCUUUUUUAACUUAUCCUGCUUCUCUUUUGGCUUUCCCAAUAGCUAACCAUGAUGGUCUCCUUUCUGCCUGGUGAAAUUUCACUUUUUUAUGUAUAUUCACAACCCUAUGAAGAGAGGCAGGAUUAUUCUCAUUUAAUAGGUGAGAUAAGUGAGAGAAUUUCUGCAAUUAGUUGACAUCACACAUGAGUCUGCUGGCCAGCAAGUUCCAGGGCUAUUGCCCCUCAUUGGACCUUUGUCCACAAUAAAAUGCCCAUCCAUAAGACAAUAAUUCCUGAAGAAGUACCACCCUAUCAUUUUAAAAGUUUUCUAUGGGCAGAUUUUUCUGUGAUGGUCACUCAAAUUCAGGUUCUCCAUUCAUAUGGCCCAGAAUUGUCCCCUGCAGACAAUCCUAUGUUGCUUUCCCUAAAUUACGGAAUCCAUGGUAGUCAUUAAGCAUUUAGAAGACCAUGCAGUUCCCAAGUUCAAAGUCUUGAUCAGUGGCCAGGAAUUUAGCUCAGUGGUCCCUCUGCUUGCCUCGAAGGUGCAAGGACCCAAGUUUGAUCCCCUGUACCAAAAAAACCCCAAAAAACACCCCAAAGUCUUGAUCAUUGAAAUAUACAUCUUAUGAAGAAAAAUUUAAACUAGGAGAAAAAUGAUCCCACACCUAGAAAUGCAAUCCUUCAUAUUUUUAGUGCAUUUUCUUCACUUUUCCGUUAGUGUG